GAUGAACGCUGGCGGCGUGCCUAAUACGUGCAAGUCGAGCGAACAGAUGAGGAGCUUGCUCCUCUGACGUUAGCGGCGGACGGGUGAGUAACACGUGGAUAACCUACCUAUAAGACUGGGAUAACUUCGGGAAACCGGAGCUAAUACCGGAUAAUAUAUUGAACCGCAUGGUUCAAUAGUGAAAGACGGUUUUGCUGUCACUUAUAGAUGGAUCCGCGCCGCAUUAGCUAGUUGGUAAGGUAACGGCUUACCAAGGCAACGAUGCGUAGCCGACCUGAGAGGGUGAUCGGCCACACUGGAACUGAGACACGGUCCAGACUCCUACGGGAGGCAGCAGUAGGGAAUCUUCCGCAAUGGGCGAAAGCCUGACGGAGCAACGCCGCGUGAGUGAUGAAGGUCUUCGGAUCGUAAAACUCUGUUAUUAGGGAAGAACAAAUGUGUAAGUAACUAUGCACGCCUUGACGGUACCUAAUCAGAAAGCCACGGCUAACUACGUG
This 497-nucleotide ribosomal RNA is filed under the name uncultured bacterium. RNAcentral describes it as "partial 16S ribosomal RNA". It matches the Rfam family "Bacterial small subunit ribosomal RNA", at positions 28 to 507 of the family's 1533-position model. The record is from RNAcentral.